RNAcentral lists this ribosomal RNA (112 nucleotides) under Vicugna pacos (alpaca). Lineage: Eukaryota; Metazoa; Chordata; Mammalia; Artiodactyla; Camelidae. The record is from RNAcentral.
ACUAAACAUAAUAUCACCCUGAACAUGCCUAAUCUCAUCUGAUCUAGAAAGCUCAGCAGGGUUGGCCUGGUUGGUACUUGGAUGGGAGAACCCUCUUUUAUAUGUAGAAGUU